Hemicordylus capensis (graceful crag lizard) is the source of this 441-nucleotide long non-coding RNA. RefSeq lists it as uncharacterized. The transcript is spliced from 3 exons. The record is from RefSeq and is a predicted model, not a curated record. Lineage: Eukaryota; Metazoa; Chordata; Lepidosauria; Squamata; Cordylidae.
CAGGGUGGACCCCAAGGCAGCUCCUCCAGCCAGCCACUUUGAAGCCUCUCGGGAAAAGCCUCUCCUGAUGCGCCAGCCCGGGACGGGAAAGCGGGAGUCUUCGGAAGCCAAAAGAAAGCCAAGACACACACACAAGUGCAUGCUGCCUGGGGGAGAAGAAGAAGAAGAAGAAAAUUCAGAAGAGCCACCUCAUCUUGCCGCUGCCACAUCAAAGGGGAGUCCAGUCCAGUGUCUCAGAGAAAACUGAGAGAAAGUACUAUCACCACGGCGGGCUAGUUUUGCGGUCCUGGAUGGGGAGCUGGCAGGGAUGUAGAACAACGCUCCCCAGAAGCCAUGGCUGGCUCCAGCAGGACAAGAUUUUUGGUCAACCCCGAGUCCUGCCCUGAGAAGCAACAGAGAUCCAGCCAUGUACACACAUUGAAAUGGGGCCGGAGUUCAGAG